RNAcentral lists this ribosomal RNA (393 nucleotides) under uncultured bacterium. RNAcentral describes it as "bacterial SSU rRNA". It matches the Rfam family "Bacterial small subunit ribosomal RNA", at positions 30 to 417 of the family's 1533-position model. The record is from RNAcentral.
AGUGAACGCUGGCGGCAGGCCUAACACAUGCAAGUCGAGCGGCAGCACGGCAAUAGCAAUAUUGUGGGUGGCGAGCGGCGGACGGGUGAGGAAUGCAUCGGGAUCUACCCUGUCGUGGGGGACAACGUAGGGAAACUUACGCUAAUACCGCAUGAUCUGGAGACAGCAAAGCCGGGGACCUUCGGGCCUGGCGCGAUGGGAUGAGCCGAUGUCCGAUUAGCUAGUUGGCGGGGUAAAGGCCCACCAAGGCGACGAUCGGUAGCUGGUCUGAGAGGACGACCAGCCACACUGGAACUGAGACACGGUCCAGACUCCUACGGGAGGCAGCAGUGGGGAAUAUUGGACAAUGGGGGCAACCCUGAUCCAGCCAUGCCGCGUGGGUGAAGAAGGCCU